GGCCUCAAAUAAUGUGUGACUAUUUUCUAAAUUUAAUCAUGACGGGCGAUUUCU
Molecule: ribosomal RNA, 54 nt
Filed under: Culex interrogator
Lineage: Eukaryota; Metazoa; Arthropoda; Insecta; Diptera; Culicidae
Description: partial 28S ribosomal RNA
Source: RNAcentral